Molecule: ribosomal RNA, 496 nt
Filed under: uncultured bacterium
Lineage: Bacteria
Description: partial 16S ribosomal RNA
Rfam family: Bacterial small subunit ribosomal RNA
Source: RNAcentral
AUGCACGCUGGCGGCGUGCCUCAUACCUGCCAGUCGAGCGAACAGACGAGGAGCUUGCUCCUCUGACGUUAGCGGCGGACGGGUGAGUAACACGUGGAUAACCUACCUAUAAGACUGGGAUAACUUCGGGAAACCGGAGCUAAUACCGGAUAAUAUAUUGAACCGCAUGGUUCAAUAGUGAAAGACGGUUUUGCUGUCACUUAUAGAUGGAUCCGCGCCGCAUUAGCUAGUUGGUAAGGUAACGGCUUACCAAGGCAACGAUGCGUAGCCGACCUGAGAGGGUGAUCGGCCACACUGGAACUGAGACACGGUCCAGACUCCUACGGGAGGCAGCAGUAGGGAAUCUUCCGCAAUGGGCGAAAGCUUGACGGAGCAACGCCGCGUGAGUGAUGAAGGUCUUCGGAUCGUAAAACUCUGUUAUUAGGGAAGAACAAAUGUGUAAGUAACUAUGCACGUCUUGACGGUACCUAAUCAGAAAGCCACGGCUAACUACGUG